Molecule: ribosomal RNA, 425 nt
Filed under: uncultured bacterium
Lineage: Bacteria
Description: partial 16S ribosomal RNA
Rfam family: Bacterial small subunit ribosomal RNA
Source: RNAcentral
GUGGGGAAUAUUGGACAAUGGGCGAAAGCCUGAUCCAGCAAUGCCGCGUGAGUGAAGAAGGCCUUCGGGUUGUAAAGCUCUUUUACCCGGGAAGAUAAUGACUGUACCGGGAGAAUAAGCCCCGGCUAACUCCGUGCCAGCAGCCGCGGUAAUACGGAGGGGGCUAGCGUUGUUCGGAAUUACUGGGCGUAAAGCGCACGUAGGCGGUCUUUUAAGUCAGAGGUGAAAGCCCGGGGCUCAACUCCGGAAUUGCCUUUGAAACUGGGAGACUUGAACGCGGGAGAGGUGAGUGGAAUUCCGAGUGUAGAGGUGAAAUUCGUAGAUAUUCGGAGGAACACCAGUGGCGAAGGCGGCUCACUGGACCGUUGUUGACGCUGAGGUGCGAAAGCGUGGGGAGCAAACAGGAUUAGAAACCCUAGUAGUCC